GGGUGUGGUGGUGCACACCUGUAAUCCCAGAAACUUGGGAGGCUAAGGCAGGAGGAUUGUGAGUUCAAAACCAGCCUCAGCAACUUAGUGAGGUCCUAAGCAAGACCCUGUCUCUA
RNAcentral lists this small RNA (116 nucleotides) under Marmota monax (woodchuck). The record is from RNAcentral. Lineage: Eukaryota; Metazoa; Chordata; Mammalia; Rodentia; Sciuridae.